This 893-nucleotide ribosomal RNA is filed under the name Trichoderma deliquescens. RNAcentral describes it as "LSU rRNA". It matches the Rfam family "Eukaryotic large subunit ribosomal RNA", at positions 40 to 961 of the family's 3401-position model. The record is from RNAcentral. Lineage: Eukaryota; Fungi; Ascomycota; Sordariomycetes; Hypocreales; Hypocreaceae.
AUAUCAAUAAGCGGAGGAAAAGAAACCAACAGGGAUUGCCCCAGUAACGGCGAGUGAAGCGGCAACAGCUCAAAUUUGAAAUCUGGCCCCUCAAGGGUCCGAGUUGUAAUUUGUAGAGGAUGCUUUUGGUGAGGUGCCGCCCGAGUUCCCUGGAACGGGACGCCACAGAGGGUGAGAGCCCCGUCUGGCUGGCCACCGAGCCUCUGUAAAGCUCCUUCGACGAGUCGAGUAGUUUGGGAAUGCUGCUCAAAAUGGGAGGUAUAUGUCUUCUAAAGCUAAAUAUUGGCCAGAGACCGAUAGCGCACAAGUAGAGUGAUCGAAAGAUGAAAAGCACCUUGAAAAGAGGGUUAAAUAGUACGUGAAAUUGUUGAAAGGGAAGCGCUUGUGACCAGACUUGGGCGCGGCGGAUCAUCCGGGGUUCUCUCCGGUGCACUUCGUCGCGUUCAGGCCAGCAUCAGUUCGUCGCGGGGGAUAAAGGCUUCGGGAACGUGGCUCCUCCGGGAGUGUUAUAGCCCGUUGCAUAAUACCCUGCGGUGGACUGAGGACCGCGCAUCUGCAAGGAUGCUGGCGUAAUGGUCACCAGCGACCCGUCUUGAAACACGGACCAAGGAGUCGUCUUCGUAUGCGAGUGUUCGGGUGUCAAACCCCUACGCGUAAUGAAAGUGAACGCAGGUGAGAGCUUCGGCGCAUCAUCGACCGAUCCUGAUGUUCUCGGACGGAUUUGAGUAAGAGCAUACGGGGCCGGACCCGAAAGAAGGUGAACUAUGCCUGUAUAGGGUGAAGCCAGAGGAAACUCUGGUGGAGGCUCGCAGCGGUUCUGACGUGCAAAUCGAUCGUCAAAUAUGGGCAUGGGGGCGAAAGACUAAUCGAACCUUCUAGUAGCUGGUUUCCGC